This 465-nucleotide ribosomal RNA is filed under the name Vreelandella stevensii. Its description in RNAcentral is "partial 16S ribosomal RNA". It matches the Rfam family "Bacterial small subunit ribosomal RNA", at positions 338 to 795 of the family's 1533-position model. Lineage: Bacteria; Pseudomonadati; Pseudomonadota; Gammaproteobacteria; Oceanospirillales; Halomonadaceae. The record is from RNAcentral.
CCUACGGGGGGCUGCAGUGGGGAAUAUUGGACAAUGGGGGGAACCCUGAUCCAGCCAUGCCGCGUGUGUGAAGAAGGCCCUCGGGUUGUAAAGCACUUUCAGUGAGGAAGAACGCCUGGUGGUUAAUACCCAUCAGGAAAGACAUCACUCACAGAAGAAGCACCGGCUAACUCCGUGCCAGCAGCCGCGGUAAUACGGAGGGUGCGAGCGUUAAUCGGAAUUACUGGGCGUAAAGCGCGCGUAGGUGGCUUGAUAAGCCGGUUGUGAAAGCCCCGGGCUCAACCUGGGAACGGCAUCCGGAACUGUCUAGCUAGAGUGCAGGAGAGGAAGGUAGAAUUCCCGGUGUAGCGGUGAAAUGCGUAGAGAUCGGGAGGAAUACCAGUGGCGAAGGCGGCCUUCUGGACUGACACUGACACUGAGGUGCGAAAGCGUGGGUAGCAAACAGGAUUAGAUACCCGUGUAGUC